ACGAACGCUGGCGGCGUGCUUAACACAUGCAAGUCGAACGGAAAGGCCCCCAUCUUGGUGGGGGUGCUCGAGUGGCGAACGGGUGAGUAACACGUGGGUGAUCUGCCCUGUACUUCGGGAUAAGCUUGGGAAACUGGGUCUAAUACCGGAUAGGACCAUGGUUUAGUGUCUCAUGGUGGAAAGAUUAUUGUUUUGGUGCAGGAUGAGCUCGCGGCCUAUCAGCUUGUUGGUGGGGUAAUGGCCUACCAAGGCGUCGACGGGUAGCCGGCCUGAGAGGGUGGACGGCCACAUUGGGACUGAGAUACGGCCCAGACUCCUACGGGAGGCAGCAGUGGGGAAUAUUGCACAAUGGGCGCAAGCCUGAUGCAGCGACGCCGCGUGGGGGAUGACGGCCUUCGGGUUGUAAACUCCUUUCGUUAGGGACGAAGCCGCACUUUUUUUGGGUGUGGUGACGGUACCUUUGUUAAGAAGCACCGGCUAACUACGUG
This 488-nucleotide ribosomal RNA is filed under the name uncultured bacterium. RNAcentral describes it as "partial 16S ribosomal RNA". It matches the Rfam family "Bacterial small subunit ribosomal RNA", at positions 29 to 507 of the family's 1533-position model. The record is from RNAcentral.